Sorex araneus (European shrew) is the source of this 126-nucleotide small nucleolar RNA. Its record names the gene SNORA72. It matches the Rfam family "Small nucleolar RNA SNORA72". Rfam says of the family: U72 is a member of the H/ACA class of snoRNAs. The snoRNA gene is located in intron 4 of the ribosomal L30 protein gene in human, mouse and chicken. NCBI's taxonomy places the organism in Eukaryota, Metazoa, Chordata, Mammalia, Eulipotyphla, Soricidae. The record is from Ensembl.
CUGCCCCUGAAAUCGGAGCUAUUCUCAAUGUUCCGAUUAAACAUUGCUUUAAUAAGACCAUGCAUGCAUCUCUAGAUCUAGCUCUUUACCUACCUAGCUCUGGUCUUAGAAAUGCUAGCCACAAUA